This 621-nucleotide ribosomal RNA is filed under the name Lactiplantibacillus plantarum. Its description in RNAcentral is "bacterial SSU rRNA". It matches the Rfam family "Bacterial small subunit ribosomal RNA", at positions 371 to 984 of the family's 1533-position model. The record is from RNAcentral. Lineage: Bacteria; Bacillati; Bacillota; Bacilli; Lactobacillales; Lactobacillaceae.
AUGGACGAAAGUCUGAUGGAGCAACGCCGCGUGAGUGAAGAAUGUUUCGGCUCGUAAAACUCUGUUGUUAAAGAAGAACAUAUCUGAGAGUAACUGUUCAGGUAUUGACGGUAUUUAACCAGAAAGCCACGGCUAACUACGUGCCAGCAGCCGCGGUAAUACGUAGGUGGCAAGCGUUGUCCGGAUUUAUUGGGCGUAAAGCGAGCGCAGGCGGUUUUUUAAGUCUGAUGUGAAAGCCUUCGGCUUAACCGAAGAAGUGCAUCGGAAGCUGGGAAACUUGAGUGCAGAAGAGGACAGUGGAACUCCAUGUGUAGCGGUGAAAUGCGUAGAUAUAUGGAAGAACACCAGUGGCGAAGGCGGCUGUCUGGUCUGUAACUGACGCUGAGGCUCGAAAGUAUGGGUAGCAAACAGGAUUAGAUACCCUGGUAGUCCAUACCGUAAACGAUGAGUGCUAAGUGUUGGAGGGUUUCCGCCCUUCAGUGCUGCAGCUAACGCAUUAAGCAUUCCGCCUGGGGAGUACGGCCGCAAGGCUGAAACUCAAAGGAAUUGACGGGGGCCCGCACAAGCGGUGGAGCAUGUGGUUUAAUUCGAAGCUACGCGAAGAACCUUACCAGGUCUUGA